RNAcentral lists this ribosomal RNA (654 nucleotides) under Triticum aestivum (bread wheat). RNAcentral describes it as "partial small subunit ribosomal RNA". The record is from RNAcentral. Lineage: Eukaryota; Viridiplantae; Streptophyta; Magnoliopsida; Poales; Poaceae.
AUGGCCAAGUCCGGUGCCCGUAAGGACGCCGCGCAAGUCCGGCCAUCUGCCACCUCGCCGCCGCAGCAGCACUCCCCAGGCGCCACAGCAAGCUCGUUCGCCAGCCGCUCUCCACAGCUUCUCUUCUACCCCGGCGCCCCGACAAGAUCCUCGGCCAGCCCCUCGACACCGCCACACCUGUACCCGCCUCUCAUGGAAUCCUCCUCAGCCAACCCUACAUGGAGGCCGAUGUAUACCUCUGCACCUGAAGGUCCGCUAAGUUUUGGACAAAUACCGCCCAUGAAUCCUUACAGUUUUCAACCUCAGCUAAUGCACCAUCAUGAACAAAGAUACCAAAAUAUGGAGAAUUUGCACUUUGUUGGUGCUUCCCCACAUGAUCCCUUUUCAACACCACCGCCACCACCGCACUCUAAUGUUUCAUCUCAGUCUGCUCCCACCAAAGUUGAUUCAAAGAAAAAGAAAAGGAAGGUCAAGAGUGUAGAUGCCGACGAAUCGGGAGCAAGGACCGCACAUCGUCUACCCUAUACACCCGAGGAACAUGAGAGACUGGCAGGUGCUUGGCUGGAGUGUUCACUCAAUCCCAUUGAUGGGAACAAAAAGAAGUCUGAGCAGUUUUGGGAUGACAUUGCUGCUCUAUACAGCAGCAGCCGCUAG